This 489-nucleotide ribosomal RNA is filed under the name uncultured bacterium. RNAcentral describes it as "partial 16S ribosomal RNA". It matches the Rfam family "Bacterial small subunit ribosomal RNA", at positions 30 to 507 of the family's 1533-position model. The record is from RNAcentral.
AUUGAACGCUGGCGGCAGGCCUAACACAUGCAAGUCGAACGGUAACAGGAAGCAGCUUGCUGCUUCGCUGACGAGUGGCGGACGGGUGAGUAAUGUCUGGGAAACUGCCUGAUGGAGGGGGAUAACUACUGGAAACGGUAGCUAAUACCGCAUAACGUCGCAAGACCAAAGAGGGGGACCUUAGGGCCUCUUGCCAUCGGAUGUGCCCAGAUGGGAUUAGCUAGUAGGUGGGUAACGGCUCACCUAGGCGACGAUCCCUAGCUGGUCUGAGAGGAUGACCAGCCACACUGGAACUGAGACACGGUCCAGACUCCUACGGGAGGCAGCAGUGGGGAAUAUUGCACAAUGGGCGCAAGCCUGAUGCAGCCAUGCCGCGUGUAUGAAGAAGGCCUUCGGGUUGUAAAGUACUUUCAGCGGGGAGGAAGGGAGUAAAGUUAAUACCUUUGCUCAUUGACGUUACCCGCAGAAGAAGCACCGGCUAACUCCGUG